This 23-nucleotide microRNA is filed under the name Panagrellus redivivus. RNAcentral's name for it is "prd-miR-7911c-5p". The record is from miRBase by way of RNAcentral. Lineage: Eukaryota; Metazoa; Nematoda; Chromadorea; Rhabditida; Panagrolaimidae.
GUCCUCCCGACCGAUGCACCAUG